Molecule: long non-coding RNA, 233 nt
Filed under: Brassica napus (rape)
Lineage: Eukaryota; Viridiplantae; Streptophyta; Magnoliopsida; Brassicales; Brassicaceae
Description: long non-coding RNA (BNAP_LNC020444)
Source: RNAcentral
UUCCAUAUUUGUAUUUCCAUAUUCUAGUCUUUCCAUUAUUCUAUGACGGUGUAAUUCCCUAUAUAUAAAGGGCUCCUUAUGUUUAUGAAUAAUAUAGAAACAUAUAGAUUUAUUCUCUAGUUUCACAACAUAGAAAACAAUAUUGGUGGUUGGAGCGUUAAAACUAUUUUCAAAAGGUAUUUAAAACAUGACAUCAGAGCAACUUUAAUGAGAUUUCUUGCUUGGGUUUCCCG